Long non-coding RNA from Aethalodelphis obliquidens (Pacific white-sided dolphin), 1148 nucleotides. RefSeq lists it as uncharacterized. NCBI's taxonomy places the organism in Eukaryota, Metazoa, Chordata, Mammalia, Artiodactyla, Delphinidae. The record is from RefSeq and is a predicted model, not a curated record. The transcript has 3 exons.
GGCGCCCGAGCCGCCCUCCACGCAACGGACUACAGAGCCAAUUAGGCUGGGGUGGAGGAGCGCUAACAAGAGGGACUGGAGUUUCUAACCAAACCUGUAGCGCCUGGAGCCAACUUGAGUUUGAAGUCAGCUAGGACUGGGUCUGUAAGUGAAGCUGUACAUGAAGUGCGAGAGACCGAGGACAAACUGGAAACAUAUUUGCCUCCCAUGGCCUCCAGUUUUGAUGAGGCAGAUGACCUGCAGGAUAAGAUGACUCUCUUGACCCUGGAGCUGAACCACAGCCAGAAUCAGAGAAGCUGAACAAGACCUGGAGGAACUUAGAAGCCUCCAUUCUGUCCUACAACAAGUAAAAAGCUGAACAGACUGAAAAAUCAACUCUUCUAGGAUCCAUAAGAGAGGUGGGUAAAUGGUUGGAGAAAAAUAUACCACGCUAACACUAGUCAAAAGAAAGCAAGACUAGCUAUAUUAAUUUCGUGCAGAGCAAACUUUAAAGUAAGGAACGUUAGGGAUGCCCUCUUUAGAGGGCAUUGCCUAUUGAUAAAGGAGUCAAUCCUUGUAGAAGAAAUAACAAUCCUUAACAUAUAUGUUCCUAACAACAGAGUGUCAAAAUACAUGAGGCAAAAACUGCCUUUAUCAGAAAUAGAUCCAAUAGGUAGAAAAAUCAGUAGGGACAUAGUUGAACUCAAUAAUCCAUCAAUCCAUUGGAUAUAACUGACAUCUACAGACCAUUUCAUCAAAAAAUAGUAGAUUACACAUUCUUUGCAAGCACAUAUGGAACAUUCACUGAGACAGACCACAUUCUGGGCUAUAUUUGUUAACAUGACUUAACAAAUUUAAAAGAAUAGAGAUCAUUCAAUAUCUGCUCUCAGACCACAAUGGAAGUCAUAAUAAUAGAAAGAUGAUUGGAAAAUUCCAAAAUAUGUACAGAAUCAAACAAUGUACUUUUAAAUAACACAUGGAUCAGAGAAGAAAUCUCAAGAGAAAUUUAAAAUAUUUUGAACUAGAUGAAAAUAAAAACACAAUUUAUCAAAAUUUGUGAGAUGCAACAAAAGUAGUGCUUUGAAUGAAAUUUAUAGCACUGAACGCAUACAUUAGAAAGAAGAAAGAUGGAAAAUAAAAAGUCUAAGUUUUUACUGUAAGAAACUAGA